RNAcentral lists this ribosomal RNA (1418 nucleotides) under Salmonella enterica. RNAcentral's name for it is "partial 23S ribosomal RNA". The record is from RNAcentral. Lineage: Bacteria; Pseudomonadati; Pseudomonadota; Gammaproteobacteria; Enterobacterales; Enterobacteriaceae.
CAGGUAAAUCCGGUUCACUUUAACACUGAGGCGUGAYGACGAGGCACUACGGUGCUGAAGCAACAAAUGCCCUGCUUCCAGGAAAAGCCUCUAAGCAUCAGGUAACAUCAAAUCGUACCCCAAACCGACACAGGUGGUCAGGUAGAGAAUACCAAGGCGCUUGAGAGAACUCGGGUGAAGGAACUAGGCAAAAUGGUGCCGUAACUUCGGGAGAAGGCACGCUGACAYGUAGGUGAAGUGAUUUACUCAYGGAGCUGAAGUCAGUCGAAGAUACCAGCUGGCUGCAACUGUUUAUUAAAAACACAGCACUGUGCAAACACGAAAGUGGACGUAUACGGUGUGACGCCUGCCCGGUGCCGGAAGGUUAAUUGAUGGGGUCAGCGCAAGCGAAGCUCCUGAUCGAAGCCCCGGUAAACGGCGGCCGUAACUAUAACGGUCCUAAGGUAGCGAAAUUCCUUGUCGGGUAAGUUCCGACCUGCACGAAUGGCGUAAUGAUGGCCAGGCUGUCUCCACCCGAGACUCAGUGAAAUUGAACUCGCUGUGAAGAUGCAGUGUACCCGCGGCAAGACGGAAAGACCCCGUGAACCUUUACUAUAGCUUGACACUGAACAUUGAGCCUUGAUGUGUAGGAUAGGUGGGAGGCUUUGAAGYGUGGACGCCAGUCUGCAUGGAGCCGACCUUGAAAUACCACCCUUUAAUGUUUGAUGUUCUAACGUGGACCCGUAAUCCGGGUUGCGGACAGUGUCUGGUGGGUAGUUUGACUGGGGCGGUCUCCUCCUAAAGAGUAACGGAGGAGCACGAAGGUUGGCUAAUCCUGGUCGGACAUCAGGAGGUUAGUGCAAUGGCAUAAGCCAGCUUGACUGCGAGCGUGACGGCGCGAGCAGGUGCGAAAGCAGGUCAUAGUGAUCCGGUGGUUCUGAAUGGAAGGGCCAUCGCUCAACGGAUAAAAGGUACUCCGGGGAUAACAGGCUGAUACCGCCCAAGAGUUCAUAUCGACGGCGGUGUUUGGCACCUCGAUGUCGGCUCAUCACAUCCUGGGGCUGAAGUAGGUCCCAAGGGUAUGGCUGUUCGCCAUUUAAAGUGGUACGCGAGCUGGGUUUAGAACGUCGUGAGACAGUUCGGUCCCUAUCUGCCGUGGGCGCUGGAGAACUGAGGGGGGCUGCUCCUAGUACGAGAGGACCGGAGUGGACGCAUCACUGGUGUUCGGGUUGUCAUGCCAAUGGCACUGCCCGGUAGCUAAAUGCGGAAGAGAUAAGUGCUGAAAGCAUCUAAGCACGAAACUUGCCCCGAGAUGAGUUCUCCCUGAGACUUAGAGUCUCCUGAAGGAACGUUGAAGACGACGACGUUGAUAGGCCGGGUGUGUAAGCGCAGCGAUGCGUUGAGCUAACCGGUACUAAUGAACCGUGAGGCUUAACCUU